RNAcentral lists this long non-coding RNA (873 nucleotides) under Homo sapiens (human). Its description in RNAcentral is "HSALNT0390613". Lineage: Eukaryota; Metazoa; Chordata; Mammalia; Primates; Hominidae. The record is from RNAcentral.
UUUGCAUCUUCUGUUCUUCCCUUCUCUGAAGAGGAUGUUGUCCUGUGCUUGCCCUAUCUGCACCCCACCACUGGAUCCGGAAGUGUGUUGUGUGUCUAUACUGGGGUGGAGAAAGGAAGGACACGAUAACUUGUUCUUUUAGGCAUCGGUUUCCAGAUCACAGGGAGUCACAGAGGACCUGGAGGAGAGAAUCCUGUGUGUGCUGGAGAUCCCGAACUGUGGCGGAGGCCCCAGGAGGCAGUGAUGGUGUGGACUCAGCUGCCUCUCCGGGAAGCAGCUGCUGACUGGAUACAGAUGUCCAAGGCCAAUGAGGAAGCCAUGUGUCAAAGAUGGCAGGGGGCAGGGCAUGGUGGCUUACACCAGUAAUCCCAGCACUGUGGAAGGCUGAAGCAGCUGGAUCACUUGAACCCAGGAGUUUGAGACCAGCCUGGGCAACAUAGUGAGACACCAUCUCUACAAAGAAUUUAAAAACUGGGCCAGUCGUGAUGGCUCACGCCUGUAAUCCCAGCACUUUGGGAGGCUGAGGCAGGCAGAUCACAAGGUCAGGAGUUCGAGACCAGCCUGGCCAACACAGUGAAACCCUGUCUCCACUAAAAAAUACAAAAAAUUAGCUGGGCGUGGUGGCAGGCGCCCAUAAUCCCAGCUACUCGGGAGGCUGAGGCAGGAGAAUCGCUUGAACCCAGGAGGCGGAAGUUGCAGUGAGCCGAGAUCGCACCAUUGCCCUCCAGCCCGGGCAACAGUGUGAUGAGACUCCAUCUAAAAAAUAAAUAAAUAAAUAAAUAAAUAAAUAAAUAAAUAAAUAAAUAAAAUAAAAAACUAGCUGGGCACAGUGGCUCACAUCUGUAGUUCCAGCUACUUGGGAGGCUGAGGUGG